RNAcentral lists this ribosomal RNA (1528 nucleotides) under Klebsiella variicola. Its description in RNAcentral is "bacterial SSU rRNA". It matches the Rfam family "Bacterial small subunit ribosomal RNA". The record is from RNAcentral. Lineage: Bacteria; Pseudomonadati; Pseudomonadota; Gammaproteobacteria; Enterobacterales; Enterobacteriaceae.
AGAGUUUGAUCAUGGCUCAGAUUGAACGCUGGCGGCAGGCCUAACACAUGCAAGUCGAGCGGUAGCACAGAGAGCUUGCUCUCGGGUGACGAGCGGCGGACGGGUGAGUAAUGUCUGGGAAACUGCCUGAUGGAGGGGGAUAACUACUGGAAACGGUAGCUAAUACCGCAUGACGUCGCAAGACCAAAGUGGGGGACCUUCGGGCCUCAUGCCAUCAGAUGUGCCCAGAUGGGAUUAGCUGGUAGGUGGGGUAACGGCUCACCUAGGCGACGAUCCCUAGCUGGUCUGAGAGGAUGACCAGCCACACUGGAACUGAGACACGGUCCAGACUCCUACGGGAGGCAGCAGUGGGGAAUAUUGCACAAUGGGCGCAAGCCUGAUGCAGCCAUGCCGCGUGUGUGAAGAAGGCCUUCGGGUUGUAAAGCACUUUCAGCGGGGAGGAAGGCGGUGAGGUUAAUAACCUCAUCGAUUGACGUUACCCGCAGAAGAAGCACCGGCUAACUCCGUGCCAGCAGCCGCGGUAAUACGGAGGGUGCAAGCGUUAAUCGGAAUUACUGGGCGUAAAGCGCACGCAGGCGGUCUGUCAAGUCGGAUGUGAAAUCCCCGGGCUCAACCUGGGAACUGCAUUCGAAACUGGCAGGCUAGAGUCUUGUAGAGGGGGGUAGAAUUCCAGGUGUAGCGGUGAAAUGCGUAGAGAUCUGGAGGAAUACCGGUGGCGAAGGCGGCCCCCUGGACAAAGACUGACGCUCAGGUGCGAAAGCGUGGGGAGCAAACAGGAUUAGAUACCCUGGUAGUCCACGCUGUAAACGAUGUCGAUUUGGAGGUUGUGCCCUUGAGGCGUGGCUUCCGGAGCUAACGCGUUAAAUCGACCGCCUGGGGAGUACGGCCGCAAGGUUAAAACUCAAAUGAAUUGACGGGGGCCCGCACAAGCGGUGGAGCAUGUGGUUUAAUUCGAUGCAACGCGAAGAACCUUACCUGGUCUUGACAUCCACAGAACUUUCCAGAGAUGGAUUGGUGCCUUCGGGAACUGUGAGACAGGUGCUGCAUGGCUGUCGUCAGCUCGUGUUGUGAAAUGUUGGGUUAAGUCCCGCAACGAGCGCAACCCUUAUCCUUUGUUGCCAGCGGUUAGGCCGGGAACUCAAAGGAGACUGCCAGUGAUAAACUGGAGGAAGGUGGGGAUGACGUCAAGUCAUCAUGGCCCUUACGACCAGGGCUACACACGUGCUACAAUGGCAUAUACAAAGAGAAGCGACCUCGCGAGAGCAAGCGGACCUCAUAAAGUAUGUCGUAGUCCGGAUUGGAGUCUGCAACUCGACUCCAUGAAGUCGGAAUCGCUAGUAAUCGUAGAUCAGAAUGCUACGGUGAAUACGUUCCCGGGCCUUGUACACACCGCCCGUCACACCAUGGGAGUGGGUUGCAAAAGAAGUAGGUAGCUUAACCUUCGGGAGGGCGCUUACCACUUUGUGAUUCAUGACUGGGGUGAAGUCGUAACAAGGUAACCGUAGGGGAACCUGCGGUUGGAUCACCU